Molecule: ribosomal RNA, 811 nt
Filed under: uncultured archaeon
Lineage: Archaea
Description: bacterial SSU rRNA
Rfam family: Archaeal small subunit ribosomal RNA
Source: RNAcentral
ACGGCUCAGUAACACGUGGCUAAUCUGCCCUUGGGACCGGAACACCCCCGGGAAACUGGGGCUAAUUCUCGAUAGGUGAAGAACUCUGGAAUGAGUCUUCGCCUAAAAGACGCUUGCGUUAUGCUCGUAGGCGUCGCCCAAGGAUGAGGCCGCGACCGAUCAGGUUGUUGGUGAGGUAAUGGCUCACCAAGCCUUUUACCGGUGCGGGCCGUGGGAGCGGGAGCCCGGAGAUGGGCACUGAGACAAGGGCCCAGGCCCUACGGGGCGCAGCAGUCGCGAAAACUUUGCAAUAAGCGAAAGCUUGACAGGGCUAUCCCGAGUGCCAUCCGCUGAGGAAGGCUUUUACCCAGUCUAGAACGCUGGGGGAAUAAGGAGAGGGCAAGUCUGGUGUCAGCCGCCGCGGUAAUACCAGCUCUCCGAGUGGUGUGGAUGUUUAUUGGGCCUAAAGCAUCCGUAGCUGGCUAAGUUAGUCCCUUGUUAAAUCCACCGAAUUAAUCGUUGGAUUGCGGGGGAUACUGCUUGGCUAGGGGACGAGAGAGGCAGACGGUAUUUCCGGGGUAGGGGUGAAAUCCUAUAAUCCCGGGAAGACCACCAGUGGCGAAGGCUGUCUGCUAGAACGCGCCCGACGGUGAGGGAUGAAAGCUGGGGGAGCGAACCGGAUUAGAUACCCGGGUAGUCCCAGCUGUAAACGAUGCAGGCUAGGUGUUUGGACGGCCACGUGCCGUUCUAGUGCCGCAGGGAAGCUGUUAAGCCUGCCGCCUGGGGAGUACGAUCGCAAGGUUGAAACUUAAAGGAAUUGGCGGGGGAGCAC